This 253-nucleotide ribosomal RNA is filed under the name uncultured bacterium. RNAcentral describes it as "partial 16S ribosomal RNA". It matches the Rfam family "Bacterial small subunit ribosomal RNA", at positions 524 to 776 of the family's 1533-position model. The record is from RNAcentral.
UACAGAGGUCUCAAGCGUUGUUCGGAUUCAUUGGGCGUAAAGGGUGCGUAGGUGGUGGGGUAAGUCGGAUGUGAAAUCCCGGGGCUCAACCCCGGAACUGCAUUCGAAACUGCCUUGCUCGAGUACUGGGGAGGAGACUGGAAUUUACGGUGUAGCAGUGAAAUGCGUAGAUAUCGUAAGGAAGACCAGUGGCGAAGGCGAGUCUCUGGACAGUUACUGACACUGAGGCACGAAGGCCAGGGGAGCAAACGGG